CCCCGAACGCCGGAGCGACGGGGGAAGCAGUCCAGCGACGGAAGGGGCCCGCGUUGCUCGUGUUUUUGGUGGGAUCUCAAUGGAGUAACUUACUAUUAAGUGCAAGAAACUGGACUUAGGUCUCAGUGCUGUCUUUCAGAGUGGAUUGAUCCGGAUUGGAGUGAGGGUGGAGGAAUCUAUGUAAAUUUAAGGGGAGAGGGGGAACGGAGCGCGGCCUGGUCGGGCAUGAAAUCUGGAGUCGGGAAGCCUCUGAGUGUUUUUAAUUUCAGUUUCCAAUAAAUGCAGAUUAUUAAGAGCUCGACAGGCCGGUCGGGCUAUUAAUAAUCUGCAUUUAUUGGAAACUGAAAUUAAAAGGCUGGUUCUCUACUUUAGGGCAACAGAUGCACGAUUUGAGAUUAGGUUUAUAUUAGCAAGCCACUAAUGUUUUACUUCUCCGUCCUCCUUCGGUCUGUCUUGACUUUCUACUAACUCCUCCUCUUACUACUACUACUACUAUUUUAUUAUUAUUGUUAUUAUUAUUAUUAGUUGUGAUUAGGAAUUCUCUUUGCAAACUCUGGUUAAUUUUAAAGUGUAAUACUUUCUGUUUGCAUUUUUAGAGACCUGAAAUAGAACUGGAAAUAGAGGUGAACGGGAGAGAAAGUAUCUGGAGAUUUUAUGUGAACAAUUGUAAACUUUCUUAAUGGAAGAGGCUCCCAAACCAACAUUUCAGGAUGAAUUGGAAUGGUGCAUCACUCAACUGGAGACUGGCCUUUUGCGUCUUAACCCAACUCCACAACAAGCCGAUGAAACACGCCACAUCCUUAAAGUAUUGCGCUCCCGUAAAGCUCCCCUUGUGAAGAAGCGGCAAAUGAUGCGCCAUGUCUUUGGAGAUUACCGUCUCAAAAUGGCUGAAGAAAACGAGAGAACAGCCAAAGCUGGUGUGACGCCCAUGCAGGUAGAAAUGCAACAAGGAAACAGCCUUCCUUCGGGCAGCAUGAUGUAUAGGAAGCAGCAAUCCAGCAGUCCUUCUGAAGCGUCGACUUCCUUGCUUGCAUCCUCAGAUAACAGCUUUCAAUUUAACUUUGUCCUACCUGAAGGAGCCACAGAAGAAACGGAUAGAACCACAGCAGAAGAGCAUGGAUUGGGUGACUCCAGGGAACAGUCUGCUGGUAACGAUCUCUCUAGGAUGCUGGACUUCUCCGCUGGAACACAGCAGCCUGGCUUUGCUUUCAACUUCACCAUCCCAGAGGCUUCCUCACCUUCAGGGGAUGCCGUAGAUCCUGGCUGUGGAGCUUCAGCAGAAAUAGCUCCAGAGAGCUGUUUCAUCUCAUCCAAGAAAGCUGUGGUGACAACAGCCUCUCCACACUCUGAUAGAACUGACGCGAAGGAUUGUGUAAGCAGACACAGAGAAGAACAUCCUCUGCAAGAGGCACCAAGAUUGGAAGCCACCCAAGUAGCUUCAACAGAGACUGCGGAAGAGAAAUUGGUUGUGGCAGCUGGUGGACCAUCGAAGAGAAGAAAGAAAAAGAAACUCCCACCGUCAGAAGUAGCACAGGUUGACCAAGGAUGUGGAGACAACAAGCUUGGUGAUCAAGGAACAUCUGAACAAGCUGAGAUAUUACAGGCAGAUGAUCAGUUGAAGAGAGAGGUAGACUGGUGUGUGGAACAGCUGGAACUCGGCCUGAAGACUCAAAAAUCCACCCCAAAACAAAAGGAGGAAGCUGUCCGUGCCAUCAAGACGUUACGCAGCAAAAAAGCAGUGUUGGCGAAGAAGCGCCAAGUGAUGCGCCUGAUGUUCGGCGACUACCGAGCAAAAAUGGCGGAGGAAAGGCAGAAGCAGCUGAAGCUCUUGCAAGCAGCUUCGAAAGCAGCUCACAUCACCGAGGUGAACGAAGAGAUGUGGAAGAAGAGAAGCCAGGUGUUCAGAAAGUCUGCAGAAGGAGCCAGAACCUCCAAGAACCUUCAGGAACCUUCUUGCUGUCAGACCCCAGCUUGUCUCAGAUCAACAGACCCUUCCUCUUUUAAAUUCAGACCAUCGCAAGAGGAAUUCUGCUUCAACUUUUUCUAAGCAAGGCCCCAGGAUGCCGAUUUUGAAAAGGCUCCUUUUUGGGGGGGUGGGGAAGUAGUAAUG
This is a non-coding RNA of Pseudonaja textilis, 2110 nucleotides long. The record is from RefSeq and is a predicted model, not a curated record. Lineage: Eukaryota; Metazoa; Chordata; Lepidosauria; Squamata; Elapidae.